RNAcentral lists this ribosomal RNA (325 nucleotides) under uncultured eukaryote. RNAcentral's name for it is "partial 18S ribosomal RNA". It matches the Rfam family "Eukaryotic small subunit ribosomal RNA", at positions 1470 to 1796 of the family's 1831-position model. The record is from RNAcentral.
CCCUUAGAUGUUCUGGGCCGCACGCGCGCUACAAUGAUGAAUUCAACGAGUUUAUAACCUUGGUUGAAAAGCCUGGGUAAUCUUUUGAACUUUCGUCGUGAUGGGGCUAGACCCUUGCAAUUAUUGGUCUCCAACGAGGAAUUCCUAGUAAACGCAAGUCAUCAGCUUGCAUUGAUUACGUCCCUGCCCUUUGUACACAUUGCCCGUCGCUCCUACCGAUUGAGUGAUCCGGUGAAUAAUUCGGACUGCAGCAGUGUUCGGUCACGAACGUUGCAGCGGAAAGUUUAGUGAACCUUAUCACUUAGAGGAAGGAGAAGUCGUAACA